ACCUUCGUGGUGUAAUGGUAGCACACUCGGCGCAUAUUCGAGAGGUCCAGGUUCGAGUCCUGGCGAGGGCA
This 71-nucleotide transfer RNA is filed under the name Stegodyphus dumicola. Its description in RNAcentral is "tRNA-Met". It matches the Rfam family "tRNA". Rfam says of the family: Transfer RNA (tRNA) molecules are approximately 80 nucleotides in length. Lineage: Eukaryota; Metazoa; Arthropoda; Arachnida; Araneae; Eresidae. The record is from RNAcentral.